Molecule: small nuclear RNA, 138 nt
Organism: Saimiri boliviensis boliviensis (Bolivian squirrel monkey)
Lineage: Eukaryota; Metazoa; Chordata; Mammalia; Primates; Cebidae
Product: U4 spliceosomal RNA
Source: RefSeq, a predicted model, not a curated record
AGCUUUGUACAGUGGCAGUAUCACAGCCAAUAAGGUUUAUCUGAGGCACGAUUAUUGGCAAUUGAAAACUUUUCCCAAUAGCCCGCCAGGAUGACUUGAAAUAUCGGCAUUGGCAAUUUUUGACAGUCUCUACAGAGA